AGUGAACGCUGGCGGUAGGCCUAACACAUGCAAGUCGAACGGCAGCACAGAGGAGCUUGCUCCUUGGGUGGCGAGUGGCGGACGGGUGAGGAAUACAUCGGAAUCUACUCUGUCGUGGGGGAUAACGUAGGGAAACUUACGCUAAUACCGCAUACGACCUACGGGUGAAAGCAGGGGACCUUCGGGCCUUGCGCGAUUGAAUGAGCCGAUGUCGGAUUAGCUAGUUGGCGGGGUAAAGGCCCACCAAGGCGACGAUCCGUAGCUGGUCUGAGAGGAUGAUCAGCCACACUGGAACUGAGACACGGUCCAGACUCCUACGGGAGGCAGCAGUGGGGAAUAUUGGACAAUGGGCGCAAGCCUGAUCCAGCCAUACCGCGUGGGUGAAGAAGGCCUUCGGGUUGUAAAGCCCUUUUGUUGGGAAAGAAAUCCAGCUGGCUAAUACCCGGUUGGGAUGACGGUACCGUAAGAAUAAGCACCGGCUAACUACGUGCCAGCCGCCGCCGUAA
This 506-nucleotide ribosomal RNA is filed under the name uncultured bacterium. RNAcentral's name for it is "partial 16S ribosomal RNA". It matches the Rfam family "Bacterial small subunit ribosomal RNA", at positions 29 to 523 of the family's 1533-position model. The record is from RNAcentral.